UGAAACCGACUUGUUCACUUCUCAUAGCUAAAAUCUAUUCCCCACACUAUUAAACAUGAGAAAAGGUGAUGUAUAGUGCUGUUGAAACCACCUACUUUUCUACUGACCUAAAUGAUCACAUCUUUUCCUUUUCCUUUCUGGAUGUAGCUUUGGAAUCAAACCCUUCUGAUCAUCUAAAGGAAACACCAAUCUUCCCAAGCAAAUGUCAAUCGUAUGCCCAUGAUUGGAAGCAGAACACCACUUUGAAAUAUGUAACACCAGGGCAGCUUCCCAGGAUGUACAGCUCCUGCUUAGCAAUAUUUCUAGAUGACAGCACACUCAGCCAGCCUAAUUGUGCCAACAUAAUACAAUGUGUCAUCUUUGCACUAUAUUAUCACAUAGAGAAUAGGGAGGCAAAUAGAUCCCUGGAUAUUUUUGAUGAGAGAUUGCCUCCAAUGACAAAAUCAACUAGAAAUGCAUUACCUGAAUAUUCUUCACUUUACUCUUAAUGUGUCUGCCAGUGUUUAUGCAAAAUAGUACUUUGACCUUCGCUCUUUGAUAAAAGAUCACCACCUGCAUUUUGCAUCUGCACCUCUCACCAAGGAAAGAGCACAGAACUUAGAGGCUAUGUCAACAUUUUGUGAAGAUGAAGACUUGUGCAGAGCUGCUAUGAAGCUAUCUCACAGCAAUGGCAAUGUCAUGGGUAUUCGACUGUCAAAUGCCAUCCUCUCAUAAAAGGAAGAAAUGGAGACUUCAGCUCAGAAUCUCAUCAUUUACCAAAGCUGAAGUGAUACCACCUAUCUCUUGAUUACACAAAAAACUUACAACCUUCAACAUUUUACCAAAAGGAAAUACCUUGAACUUAAGCAACUCCUGGACAGAGAAGGCCAUAGUUCAUGAGAAAAGAACUUGAUAACACAGCAACACAUGACAUCAUGAUGUCCUCAUUCACAAAAGAUGAAGAAAUAAUAACGACCUAUGCCUGGAGAACAAAAUCAACAAUUUGAAUAUUUUUAUCAGAAGGAAAGAUCAGUAAUUUAAGGAACUCUUGGAGAAUGAAAGGAGUACCUCAUGAAAGAGAAACUACUUAAAGCAGGAACACAUAACCUUUCUUGAUUGAUCUGAGCAGCGCUACAAACACUGCAAAGCAGGAGCACCCUGCUGACAGAGACAUUUACUUACUUCACAGGCCAAAGUCUGUGAGUUUCAUUAGUUUCUGGAAAUAAGACUUCAAAUUUAAACUCAUUUAAAAUUUCAAUUUUUAAAAUUAGAUCAUGAACACAUCAAAGACCUAAUUU
RNA transcript from Octodon degus (degu), 1277 nucleotides. It is a transcript of the gene named cyclin-Y-like protein 1, with no coding region annotated. NCBI's taxonomy places the organism in Eukaryota, Metazoa, Chordata, Mammalia, Rodentia, Octodontidae. The transcript has 7 exons. The record is from RefSeq and is a predicted model, not a curated record.